Molecule: ribosomal RNA, 461 nt
Filed under: Acrobelus rakitovi
Lineage: Eukaryota; Metazoa; Arthropoda; Insecta; Hemiptera; Cicadellidae
Description: partial large subunit ribosomal RNA
Source: RNAcentral
UAGUUCAAAAUUUGAAAGUAGGUUCUGCCCUAUGAUUAUUUAAAUGGCUGCAGUAUAUUGACUGUGCAAAGGUAGCAUAAUAAUUAGUCUUUUAAUUGGAGGCUUGUAUGAAUGAAUAAAUGAGAAAUUUUUUUUAUUAUUUUUAUAAUUUGAACUUAAUUUUUGAGUAAAAAAGCUUAAUUUUUUUUUUGGGACGAGAAGACCCUAUAGAAUUUUAAUGACUUAUUUAUAAUUAUUUUUUAGUUUAAUUUUUAUUUUUGUCUAUAAUUUAUUUUUGUUGGGGUGACAAAUAAAUUUGACUUUAUUUUUUUAUUUCAUUAAUUUAUGAUUUUUUUUGAUCCAAUUUUAUUGAUUACAAGAUUAAAUUACCUUAGGGAUAACAGCGUUAUUUUUAUGGAAAGUUCAUAUUUAUAUAAAAGUUUGCGACCUCGAUGUUGAAUUAAGAUUAUUAUAUGGGGCAG